GACGAACGCUGGCGGCGUGCUUAACACAUGCAAGUCGAACGGUAAGGCCCUGCUUUUGUGGGGUGCUCGAGUGGCGAACGGGUGAGUAACACGUGAGUAACCUGCCCUUGACUUUGGGAUAACUUCAGGAAACUGGGGCUAAUACCGGAUAGGAGCUCCUGCUGCAUGGUGGGGGUUGGAAAGUUUCGGCGGUUGGGGAUGGACUCGCGGCUUAUCAGCUUGUUGGUGGGGUAGUGGCUUACCAAGGCUUUGACGGGUAGCCGGCCUGAGAGGGUGACCGGCCACAUUGGGACUGGGAUACGGCCCAGACUCCUACGGGAGGCAGCAGUGGGGAAUAUUGCACGAUGGGCGGAAGCCUGAUGCAGCAACGCCGCGUGCGGGAUGACGGCCUUCGGGUUGUAAACCGCUUUCGCCUGUGACGAAGCGUGAGUGACGGUAAUGGGUAAAGAAGCACCGGCUAACUACGUG
This 468-nucleotide ribosomal RNA is filed under the name uncultured bacterium. RNAcentral's name for it is "partial 16S ribosomal RNA". It matches the Rfam family "Bacterial small subunit ribosomal RNA", at positions 28 to 507 of the family's 1533-position model. The record is from RNAcentral.